Molecule: ribosomal RNA, 191 nt
Filed under: Virgibacillus profundi
Lineage: Bacteria; Bacillati; Bacillota; Bacilli; Caryophanales; Bacillaceae
Description: partial 16S ribosomal RNA
Rfam family: Bacterial small subunit ribosomal RNA
Source: RNAcentral
ACUCCUACGGGAGGCAGCAGUGAGGAAUAUUGGUCAAUGGGCGCAAGCCUGAACCAGCCAAGUCGCGUGAGGGAAGACGGUCCUACGGAUUGUAAACCUCUUUUGUCGGGGAGUAACGUGCGGGACGGGUCCCGUAUUGAGAGUACCCGAAGAAAAAGCAUCGGCUAACUCCGUGCCAGCAGCCGCGGUAA